Ictidomys tridecemlineatus (thirteen-lined ground squirrel) is the source of this 9854-nucleotide non-coding RNA. The record is from RefSeq and is a predicted model, not a curated record. Lineage: Eukaryota; Metazoa; Chordata; Mammalia; Rodentia; Sciuridae.
GGGAAGUCAUUUACAAAGCACAAAGUCAAAGGUGUCGAGACGGAGGACACAGGCCCUGAACCCCAAGCAGGGCCCUUCUAGGCAGCAGCCCUGGGACGGCACUGGCCACUGAUGUCCCGGUCAGCAGCUCUGCCCUGAACAUCAACAGAGCUUCGCUCUAAGGGCAUCAGGAAGCCCAGAGCCGAAACUAAUCCCCCAGGGUUCUUCUCUGGGAGGGGCAGGAGGGCUUCAGCUUCCCCAUGUCCCCUCAAGGCUGUCCUCCUCUGUGUCUGUGUCCUGGUCCCCUCUUCUCAUCAGGACACUAGGCAGACUGACUGAGGGCCACCCAGAGGGCCCACUAGCCUUGACUUCUGCAAGGCCUUUCUCUCCACGCUCUGAGGUCUGAAUCCAGGGGACACGUUCAUCCCGUAGCCCUUCCCUUCACCCUCCCUGUGUGGCUGUGGACAUGGGUAGCCCUCCCCGCCUCGUCCCCCAGCUGCAGCCCAGGGAGGUGCUGCGUCUGCUGCAAACGAGGAGGCGCCUGAGGUUGCUGGUGUCCCUGGCUAUGGAGGGGAGGAGGGACGGCGCCCCUGGUUGCAGGAGCACUGGUGCCCCCGACUCACUGUGGGCAAGCGGUAGGCCCGAGAGGCGGUGCCACCUCCUGCUGCUCCAGAGGUGGUGCCCGUGGCCACGCAGCUGCAGGGCCAGUCUAGAGCGCUGGCUCCCGGAGGGUGGCUCCCGAGUGGGGAAGCAGGGUGGACGCCCUUGGAAGCCACGGUGUGGCCUGGGCUCUGUGACUCCCCACUGUGCCACCCUCAGGCGCGUUUUGGUUUGGGCUCUGAUAACAGCUGUAUUCAAAGGAGCCCCAAACUGGAAACGCCCCGCAGAGCAUUGACUGGUGAGUGGCUCAGCACCCUGGGGCAGCCAGACCACGGAACUCUCCUGGUGAUGGGAGGGGCCACCGCAGCUGCCCCAGAGCCAGGAAGGUCUCCGAGCCCGGGAGAGGAGGGACGCUGCGGCCACUGCCCCAACCCACCUGCACGACACUUGGCUAAAGACCCUUUAGUCUUCAGAGCAGUUUUGGGUUCACCGCAAAACUGAGGGGGACGGACAGAGUGGCCGAGUUGCCCCUGGGCAUUCUUGACCUCUCCAUCUGUGACGGGGUACACAGAGGACUGAGCGGGACGCAGGGGUCCUCAGGCUGUGGGAGCACUUCAUCCUCGGGAGAGUGUGGCACCCUGGCCAGGGUUCAUCCUCAGAGGCUCCACAGACCCUUGGUGGGGCCAUCGGGGUUUGCAGAUCGUGGGGGAGACUGGUCUCUGCUCCCACCCAGAAGGUUCUAGAAAGGUGCCCCAUCUCACUGCUCAGAGCUGAGGAAGAGGAUCCUUUCAGCUCCCCUGGCCUCCCGAGAGUCCUGCCGUUUGCUGUAAUGAUGGAAAACUACCAGGCUGCCCAGGAGCGUGUUAUCUGCCAUCAGCCAGAGGCACCGGGGCCCAGGGCAGCCGGCAGGAGGAUGGGGCGUUCCCGUGCUGGAGAAGGAGGGGACCCUGUGGCUACCCUUACCCCUGACGCUCCACCAGCAGUAGGGGCUGUGUUGGACUCCGGCCAGGCUCCACCUAGCACCAGGAGGGGUCCCCGGAGCCUGGAAUAAGAUGGAAUGGCUUUCCCUGGCCAUGGGGGCUCAAACUGGCUCGGUUACCUCCCUGCUGUGUGUCUCAGCACAUGCUCCACCUCUCUGAGCUGAUCCUGUGGACAGCUGUUUCUUUACCACUUAAAACACCAGGCAGCAUGGCGGUCUUCACGCCCAUCCCGAAGGCCCAGCCUCCCAAGUCCCCCAGUGUCUUGUCACCUGAGGACAGGGAGGCUGAGACAUGCGGCAGGCAGGCCAGGAUCCCACUCAGAACAGACUGUGGCUGGAGCUGAACUCCAACCACACAAAGGGGGCCCCGGGAUGCAGCCCAGUGGGCCAGACUCAGAUCAGGGCUCCUGAGCCGCAGGGCCUCCCAUCCCAAGAACCUGCCUCCUCCUAGGGCACCGCUGCUCUGUGUUGGGGUCCCAGCCAAGGCACAGUGACUGGGACCCCAUAGCUCUGAGGCACCCAGCCCCCAAGGAGAGGACAGGGAGCAUGCACACACCUCCCCUUGUGUGGCAGGACCACAGGAGGGCCUUCUUUGUCCUCGUCGGGCCAGCACAGGGGCAGCAGUGAGCAGGGACCGACCCACCUGCUGGACAAGGAGAUCUAGAGUAAGCCUCCAUCAACAGACGCUGGCUCAGACCUCAACCUGCACUGCAGCAGGGGGCAGAGGGUGCCAAAGGAAGCCCCGGGGGUCACCCCAAGUGUGCCUGCUCCACAUAGGUACUUCUGAGGUGUAGGCGAUUAGGAAUCAGCCGACAGAGGAAGAAGGCUCUCUACCCCUGGCCUUGCCUCUCAGGACAGAUUCUCCCACAGUACAAUACAUCCUGCUUUCUGCAGACCACCCCUACCCCUCAGGGUCGGCACCAGGGGAACCCCAGUGAGCCUCCCUCCGGUCCUUCCUCGCAGGCGCCUUCCCGCGUGCCUGCCUCUGGAGGCCUGCACUGCUUCUCUGAAGCCCAGGGCUCCUGGGGAAAGUGGCCUGUGAGUCCCACUCCUAGGCCUACAGGGAGCUCCCUGCAUCCAGGAUCAGCUAUGUGACGCCUGGCGCAUGCACUGGCAAAGCCCUGCUUCUCCUGUUGGUCUCUGGCGGGAGGGACCUGUCCAGCUGCGUUUAGGAGGUUGAGGAGAGAUCAUAAGUCCUCUGAGGGGGCAGGGCUGCGGUGUGGAGGGCUCAGCCGGACAGCACAGCACUGUCCAGCUCUGUCCAGCUGUGCUGUGGAGCCCAGCACCCCGGCUGCAGAUGGCAGAGCUGGGGCGGGCGUGCUGCCCGGGUCCAGGCGUGGAAACGCUCACACCCCUCUCUUUUCAUCUGCUCCCUCCGCAUUCCUGAGACCAGCUCAGGUGAAUAUUUCAGCAAAGGACCCAGAGGGGGGUCCCCAGGUCAGAUCCCACUCGAAGCCCAGCGGCCAAAAGUGAGGUGAAGCCCACUGACCACUUGGACAGAGGUGGGAACCACAGGAAGCCGGGGUGGUGCCAGGAGUGUGUGCUGGCCCCCUGAAGCCCCUCUGGCUUCUGGAAAGCUGCAGGCUGGCCACCCACGGGCCUGGUGACCGCUGCCCUCGGGUGUCCUUGCCUGCAGGGCACUUACUUCCUCUAAGGCAGGGACUGGUGCCCUGGGAACGAGCGGGAGGACUCUGCUGCCUCUGUCCCUCUGAAACCUCCUUCCCUGGGAAGGUCUCUCCCUGGACCAUGCUGGUGGCUGCUGGGGCAGCGCUGCCCUCUGCCCAGGCCUGCCUCGAGGCCCUCUCCAGCCUCCCAUGAGUGACACUGCUUGGGCUGUGGCCUGGGCUGGGCUGAACUGCUGGAGACUGGACGCCCCUUCAGGAACCUGACCACCCUGACAGGCGCCCCAGCAGGGCCGCCAUCGCCAGCUCCCAGGGACAGGAGCGGAGCUCGGAGCAGCGGCAGGAUCCCAGCCCCCCGUCCUGUGGAGCCAUAAAACUGCAGCAGCCACGCUCAUGGCUCGUUGGGGUGAUUUGCUCCUGCGCAGGGAGGACAAAUCUCCACAUAAAGCUCUUCCCUCAGCCGUCGGCACUGAGAGUCCUCGUCCCCUGCAAGUGCAGAGGCUGCUCAGACACAUGACUCCACUCCUGGGGGGACGCAGCCCCAGCCGUUCUCACUGCAAAACGGUAAACCUGUCGCUCUAAUGAACAGCUUUCAUUUGGAGCGCCGCCGUGAGAAGGUGCGCCUGGGGACAGUGGCUGUUGAUGGUGAGGCCCAGCCUCCUGCCACCGCCUGAUUCCUGUGCAAGACAGCUGCCUGCAGGCUCAGGGACAGCCCAGGCCAGACAAAAUCGAUACAUCCUAGAAACAUGAGGAGAGCUGACCUGGAGGUUUCCAGUGAGACUUCGGAGGGAUCCCGGCUCUGGGCCAGACCUGGGGCCAGGCCAUGGUGCGGGGGAGCCCCCUCUGCACUGGCCCCAGCGCCAGGAUAGGGCAGCCUCACACACAGACUCCAGAAAGUUCUGUGGCGCCAGCCUGCUCUUUCUACGAGCUACAUAGGGCUGUUGGGUGCCAUCCUGGCCAGCUGUGUCCUGCCCUCCUGCUGACCGAGGGCCUCACCACUGCCCCUGCCUCAGUUCUUUCUUCUCUAAGAAAGUUCUGCAGCAGCAGCGUCAGGACUCACCACUGCCCAGGACCUGGCAGGCCCAGGGAGAGCUUGGCUGGUAGAGGAGGUCCCCUCCACCCCGCAGACCUGCACCCAGAGACGGUGUCUCCCUGGGCACAAAGCUGCCCUGGUUGGCUCCCAGCUUCAGACUGGCUUUCCUGACUCAGGGCACUGCUGUUGGCACUGGCCAUCAGGGCCUCCUGGAGCAAUUCAGAGGGCGGGAGGGAGGCGGCCAUACCCAGCCUCAUCUUCGGACUCUGCAAGAGCCUGGCCUGGCCUCCACCGCAGACUGAGAGCUGUGGCUGUGCCCAGGAGCCACUGUCCUGCAGGCUCUGUGGGGCACCAGCUGUGUGACUGGGAACAAGCUGGCGUCUCUCUGCACACAGCCCUGCAACUGGUCGCGCUUCACACCUGUGACCCCUGCCCCGUGCCCACUUGCACAGACUGCUGACCGGCCUCCUCCUCCCCUCUCUCUCCUCCCACCUCCUCCUCCCCAGCCUCUCCACCACGACUUUCUGCAGGUGCUUCCUGAGGAGGGAGAAGCCAGAGGAAGGCUUGGCCCAGCCUCCCUGCCGUUCCCCUGCCUCUGCCUGGGGCUCCUCCUCCUGCUGGCCUUCCAGCCAAGCCCCCUCGCGCCCUGGUCUGAACAGUCCUCUUCCUUCUCUGCCGUCGUCCUUGAAUGAGGCUCUUCCACAGGGGACAAUGACCUCCACACUGCCAUUUAGGUGGUCACAUCAUUCCUUAGCAUCUCAGCCCCCCAGCUGAGCAGGUCUCCUCUUUCCUCCUCAAACAAUUCCUUCCCUGGUGUCUGGGACCCCGCCCUGCCCCCUGCCCCCUGCCCCACUGGUCCCUCCUAUCGCCGGGGCGACUCGGGGCUGCUCCUUCCUCUGCAUCCUGAGGUCCCACAGUCAUCUCCCUGGCCGGGUGAUGGGGACCACCCAGCCCUGCCUGCCCGUGGCCUUCCGACUUCCCUCCAGGGUCCACACAGACCGGGUGCCAAGCCUGGCUCUUGGGCCUCCAGACCCCCGCAGCCCACCUCCCGGGGCCCUGGCUUCCUCCCCUCCUCUCAGCCUCUGUACCCGGCCUCAGUCCUCAGGCUCCAGUGGCUGAAUGUGGGUUGUGGAGGGGGCAUCACAGUGAGUCAUGCUGGGGGCAGAGGCCCUUUAGGGAGCGGGAGGGCCAGGGAGGGAGAGGGCAUGGGGGUCAGCCAGGGUGGUGUGGCCCUGGAGAGUGGGAGGCUCCUGCCGGGGCUGGGGUCUGGGCCAGGUGACACAGGAGGGUGAGCGUAGGAGCUGUCCACAAGCCAUGGUGCUGAAGCCUUGGGAGCUGAUCUCCAGGGAGCCCCGGGGACCCUGCCUGUGCCCCACGUCUGAGCCCAACCAGACCUUGUUUUGCCCUCACAGAGUUACCUGGGUCAGGUGAGCAACAGCCCUGUGAAGGAGCCACUGUCCUCCCCAGGUGACAGGUGUGGACACAGCCUGGAGAAGGAAGCCGGCUCCUGGCCUCAGGGGAGUCAUCCCCGACCCGGGCUCAGGUGACAUCGCAGCACCCUUCGUGGGAGCACCCACUCAGGAGUGGCUGCAAACACAGGACUAGAACGGGAAAGCCACCUCCAGCCUGGCAGCCUUGGACAGUAACCAGGGACACGGCGGCACAAUGGCUGGUGGGUGCCAGCCUGGCAGCUGUGUCCUGCCCUCCUGCUGACCCGAGCGCCUCAGCACACGCCCUUCUGAAAUAACCCGAGCUCUCCUGUUUCCUCCCACCUAAUCCUGGCUUAGCCAUUUGGUGGUCGGAGGGUCGCUCUCCCUUCCCAGGGAAGGAGUCGGCAGGGUGCGGGUCUGCACCUGCGGGCUCCAGCUCAGGUGGGCUCACUGAAUGGGGCACACUCCUGGAUCUGAGUUCUUGCACACUCGUGUGCCCACGUAUGCCAGGGAGCAGGAGGGAUGGUGCAGGACUCCUCAGUCACGUAUCUGAAGGCAAGAUGCAGACAGCAAUAGAAGCUUCUCUUUUCCUGAAGAGACGGGCACUGUGAAGGCUCCUCUCUGUCCGACUGCAGGGUGUUUGCAUUGGCAGAACAAGGCCCGGGAGAGAAGGGACCUCACCAUCCCUCUGCCAGCUGAUGGUCCUCCCCCAGCCUCCUUUCUCUGUCCCCCUCGGCCCUGGCAUCUGGACUAAUUGUUGUGGUUCACAGGUAAGUGGCCUAGGAUCAGCCCAUCCUGUGACAUCAGGGCAGGGGAGGGCUGCAGCCACAGGUCCCUCUGGGAGAUGAAGAGAACCAGAUCAGACCUCUCCGUGAGCACCUGACCUCACGUGUCAGGAAGAUGGGGUUCAACCUAACCCCUCCACAGCCGCAGGGGGGUCUCAGGUCAACCUAUUCAACGGCUCCAGUUGCACGGCAAGGAACCUGGGGCUGUCUGGGGUCUGCAGGGAAGAGGGCUGCGGUCAGCCAUGAAGUUUGCCGAGGGGAGUGGGUGGAAGCGGUGGCACGAGCUCUGUUUUCAAGGCGGGGUGGACACCUUGGAUGUGGCUAUGAGGAGGCAGACCCUGUGACUGUGACGCCCCAACGGCUUGGCAGCCCCAGGGCCUUGACAGGCGCAGCUCCCACACCUGGAUGCCCUCCCUCCCUCCCCUCCUCACCCACCCUCGUCAGUGUCCAGCUCAGGGGGCCUCCCAUGAGCCACCCCGUCCCAGGCAGACAUCAGCCCCCUGGACUCUCUUCACUUGGUCUAGUGCAGGCCUGACCAUGGUCCUGCUGGCCAGGGACCCUGUUGGGAGGUGUUUGUGCCCAGUGCCCUCCCAGGAUUCUGGGCUCUGAGCUGGAGGGAUGAAUGGUCCUGAUGAUGUUCUCGGGCCCUCCUGCCCCACAGGUAGGAUGAGGUGUCCUGGGCCGGGGUGGAGACUGGCAGGAGGACCCCAGCCCAUGCCCAGCACAGGCCUGUGACUCCAGAGGGACAAAGGAGAGCUGGGUUCCUCCUGUCCCCAAGUCAGUCUCCCAGGACUGAUGCUGCGGAUCCCUGCCUGGCCCCGCCCUGGCCCCGCCCUGCCCCUGCCCAGCCCCUGCCAGGCCCUGCCCAGGCUCCACAGCCAUCCCAAUGCUGGAGGCACUGCCAUCAGGUUACAUAAGCUACUCUGCAUGCUCCUGAUUCACAGAGUACAACUCAAAACCCUCUCCAAAAAGUAGCCAGAGGGUCACCCUCAACCCUCCCUGCCUCUCCCGAGGAGCGGAGCAGACUCCAGGAGCACAGUGAUUGGCCACAUGGGGCCACCCUGUCACCUGCAAGCUCGGUGAGAGGUGUCUAGGGGCCCUGGGGUUGUCCAGGAGAGCCUGGCCUCUCGCUCCCCUGGCUGCACACCAGGAGGGCUGCGGCCAGCGAACACAGACGGCCGGCUGACUCCACGAUUUUUAAAACAAAUGUCAGACAAAGUGGAUUCCAGAGGAAAGAAUGUUAUUGGGGUGAAAAGAUGAAUCACGAUUAUGAAUCAUUUCACGAUGAUUUAAGGAUCAAUUCAAUAAGAAGACAAAACAAUUCUCAGUGUGUAUGCGGCUAGGAAGAGAGUGAGAAAAUAAAUACAGAGAAAACCCCAACAGAACUAGAUGGAGAGAGAGAGAGAAAAAAAACAUAAUAAUGGUCUGAGAUUUCAAAAUGCUUUCAAUGUGACAGAAGCAGAGACAGAAAGUAAAUGGGACAGAGAAGACACGAGAGAGGCUACCAACCAGCUAGACGGGUCGCACUACAGACACCCACCACCAGCUGCAGGAGGCACGGUCUUUUCAAGAGAGCAUUGAACAGUGCCUGCCUUCGCCCAUAUUCUGGGCUAUAAAACAGAUGCUGACUUUAAAACAAUAUAAAUCAAUAAGACCUGGUCCCUGACCGCAAUAUAAUUAAGUCAGAAAUCAACAACAGAAUGACAUCUGAAAACAUCUCAGUGUGUUUGGAAAUCCAAUAACAUAUUUCAAAAUAAGCCAUACAUUGAAGAAAAAAAGGAAAAUUAGAAGAAAUUUUUAACUGAAUAGAAAUUAAAAACACACCCUACCCAGAUUUGUGGACCGGUGCCAACACAGGGCUCACAGGGACACUGGAGCCUACAGAGAGCAAAGGGGAAAUCGAGAAAUCAGCAAGAGCCUUACAGUACACCGGGGUCCUCGGAGCUGGGGACAGACACCUUACAGCCAGAAACACAAGGAGACAUAGAGCAUGUGAAGAGCCCUGGGUGAACUGAAGAAAUGGGCAGCAGGCCUCCAUGCCUUCCCCUGGGUCUGGAUGCUACUGAACCCUUCAGGAAAAACUUGUGCCCAUUCUUCCCAAACUGCCAGGAAGCGGGAGGAGAGAACACACAUCGUGUUCCUCUAACACCAAAGUCAGGCAAAAUAUCACGAGGAAGGAGAACUAGGGCUCAGCACCUCUCAUUACAUAGAUGUAAGAAUUCCCUAAUACAGUCGUAGAGAAUAGGUCCCACCAGGAUGCAAAUAGGACGGCCCAGCACCACCCAGGGCGCUGUCCUCAGGAAUGCAGGAAUGCAAGGCUGGUUUAAUGUUCAGAUCUAUCUAUGUCACCUGCCCCAGUAACAGACGAUGCCAGAGAAACCACUUGAUCAUCUCAAAGACCAGAUCCAAAUCCAUACCUGACAGAGACUCUCGUGGGAAUUCAGCUUUCCCCGCCCUGAGGUGGUGUUCCAGCAGCACUAACUACUCACACCCACUUCUCCACGAGGAGGACUGGACCACUCCGCUGGACCGGGAGACCAGGUCCACCUCCUUCCUUCGUCAUCCUGCCACUGGCCCUGACUCUCUGCUCCGGCUCCUGGCCUGGCCAUCUCUUGGGCUGCCCCGGCCCCAGCUGGCCUCGGGUUACCCUCAGCAUCACGAUCCUGGCUCUUCUGCUGAGCCGACUGGUGACUUGUAGACGUUUCAGCCCCUUCUCUGGGCUGUAGGUUCUUUAUAGGGACUUAGUCACACAGGUCCCUGUAAUUACUUACUUGGCCAGGUAUGGACCCCACUGAACCAGGCCUACAAAAUACCUCUUGUCCUCUGAGGCCGUGGUCACACCCAGACCUGACACCUGGAAGGACUCCUCCUUGCAGACCCAGGGACACGGAGUCCAAGGAACCCAAUAGAGCCUGGUUCUCCAGGAGCCACAGCCCGUGGCCAGGGCAGGGGUGGGCCAGGGUGAAUCAAGGGCCCCAGUGGUCAAGCACUGGGGAGUCCAGGAAGACUGAAGCCAGAGUCCAGGGAGGACCAGCUCUCCUCUGGUGGGAGGACAGGGGUACCCUGGAAGGGUGGCCUUUGGUCUGAUCUGGAGCAGUGCUUGUGACGUUGGGUGACGGUGGGUGAAGCUGGCAGGCAGGAGGGAGCGGUAUGUGUCUUGGAGGAGGACUCAUGGUGGCCGCGAGGACUCCACUUCUCUACAGGGAGCUGGGGAGUGGAGCCCUGCAGGGAGCCAGCACUAAGCACAGGCCGUCCUGACUGUCUGUCGGGGGGCUGCAGUGUGCUUAGCAGGUCACCCGUGCACACUCACUGGGACUCCUGGAACACUCCCCUCGAGGGUGCCAAGAGGCGACCGUGAAAAAUACAUCUGCAUUUCAUGGUUUAGGAAAUUCUGGAUUAAACCAAAUUAAACAGUGUGUUUCUUCA